RNAcentral lists this ribosomal RNA (209 nucleotides) under Rickettsiella grylli. Its description in RNAcentral is "partial 23S ribosomal RNA". It matches the Rfam family "Bacterial large subunit ribosomal RNA", at positions 506 to 714 of the family's 2925-position model. Lineage: Bacteria; Pseudomonadati; Pseudomonadota; Gammaproteobacteria; Legionellales; Coxiellaceae. The record is from RNAcentral.
AGGGAAAGGCGAAAAGAACCCCGGUGAGGGGAGUGAAAAGAACCUGAAACCGUCUGCGUACAAGCAGUAGGAGCUCAUCUUCGGAUGGGUGACUGCGUAACCUUUUGUAUAAUGGGUCAGGCGAGUGACUUUUAGUGGCAAGCUUAACCGACUAGGGUAGGCGAAGGGAAAUCGAGUCUGAAUAGGGCGUUGAGUCGCUAGGAGUCGAC